Molecule: ribosomal RNA, 468 nt
Filed under: uncultured bacterium
Lineage: Bacteria
Description: partial 16S ribosomal RNA
Rfam family: Bacterial small subunit ribosomal RNA
Source: RNAcentral
GACGAACGCUGGCGGCGUGCUUAACACAUGCAAGUCGAACGGAAAGGCCCUGCUUUUGUGGGGUGCUCGAGUGGCGAACGGGUGAGUAACCCGUGAGUAACCUGCCCUUGACUUUGGGAUAACUUCAGGAAACCGGGGCUAAUACCGGAUAGGUGCUCCUGCUGCAUGGUGGGGGUUGGAAAGUUUCGGUGGUUGGGGAUGGACUCGCGGCUUAUCAGCUUGUUGGUGGGGUAGUGGCUUACCAAGGCAUUGACGGGUAGCCGGCCUGAGAGGGUGACCGGCGACAUUGGGACUGCGAGACGGCCCAGACUCCUACGGGAGGCAGCAGGGGGGAGUAUUGCACAAUGGGCGGACGCCUGAUGCAGCAACGCCGCGUGCGGGAUGACGGGCUUCGAGUUGUAAACCGCUUUCGCCUGUGACGAAGCGUGAGUGACGGUAAUGGGUAAAGAAGCACCGGCUAACUACGUG